RNAcentral lists this ribosomal RNA (347 nucleotides) under uncultured bacterium. RNAcentral's name for it is "partial 16S ribosomal RNA". It matches the Rfam family "Bacterial small subunit ribosomal RNA", at positions 338 to 696 of the family's 1533-position model. The record is from RNAcentral.
CCUACGGGUGGCAGCAGUCGAGAAUCAUUCACAAUGGGGGAAACCCUGAUGGUGCGACGCCGCGUGGGGGAAUGAAGGUCUUCGGAUUGUAAACUCCUGUCAUGUGGGAGCAAAUUAAAAAGAUUGUACCACAAGAGGAAGCGACGGCCAAACCUGUGCCAGCAGCCGCGGUAAUACAGCGGGCUCUAGCGUUGUUCGGAAUCACUGGGCGUAAAGGGUGCGUAGGCUGUUUCGUAAGUCGUGUGGGAAAGGCGUGGGCUCAACCCGCGGAAGGCACAUGAUACUGCGAGACUAGAGGAAAGGAGGGGGAACCGGAAUUCCCGGUGUAGCAGUGAAAUGCGUAGAUA